UACCAGCUCUCCGAGUGGUGGGGAUGAUUAUUGGGCUUAAAGCGUUCGUAGCCGGCUUAGCAAGUCUCCUGUUAAAUUCAGCGACCUAAUCGUUGAGCCGCGGGAGAUACUACUAGGCUAGGAGGCGGGAGAGGUCGACGGUACUUCUGGGGUAGGGGUGAAAUCCUAUAAUCCCGGGAGGACCACCAGUGGCGAAGGCUGUCGACUAGAACGCGCUCGACGGUGAGGGACGAAAGCUGGGGGAGCGAACCGGAUUAGAUACCCGGGUAGUCCCAGCUGUAAACGAUGCGGGCUAGGUGUUGGGGUGGCUACGUGCCACUUCAGUGCCGCAGGGAAGCCAUUAAGCCCGCCGCCUGGGGAGUACGGCCGCAAGGCUGAAACUUAAAGGAAUUGGCGGGGAGCACCACAAGGCGUGAAGCUUGCGGUUC
RNAcentral lists this ribosomal RNA (428 nucleotides) under uncultured archaeon. RNAcentral describes it as "bacterial SSU rRNA". It matches the Rfam family "Archaeal small subunit ribosomal RNA", at positions 474 to 903 of the family's 1478-position model. The record is from RNAcentral.